RNAcentral lists this non-coding RNA (29 nucleotides) under Rattus norvegicus (Norway rat). Lineage: Eukaryota; Metazoa; Chordata; Mammalia; Rodentia; Muridae. The record is from RNAcentral.
UCUCUGUAAGUCAGUUCACUCUAAAAUGC